GCACACAGGUAGGGGUGUGUGUGCAGGUAGGAGUGUGUGUACACAGGUAGGGGUGUGUGUACAGGUAGGGGUGUGUGUACACAGGUAGGGGUGUGUGUACAGUUAGGGGUGUGUGUACUGGUAGGGGUGUGUGUACAGGUAGGGGUGUGUGUACACAGGCAGGGGUGUGUGUACACAGGUAGGGGCGUGUGUACAGGUAGGGGUGUGUACACAGGUAGGGGUGUGUGUACACUGGUAGGGGUGUGUGUACAGGUAGGGGCGUGUGUACACACGUAGGGGUGUGUGUACACAGGUAGGGGCGUGUGUACAGGUAGGGGUGUGUACACAGGUAGGGGUGUGUG
Long non-coding RNA from Anguilla rostrata (American eel), 341 nucleotides. RefSeq lists it as uncharacterized. NCBI's taxonomy places the organism in Eukaryota, Metazoa, Chordata, Actinopteri, Anguilliformes, Anguillidae. The record is from RefSeq and is a predicted model, not a curated record. The transcript is spliced from 4 exons.